UGGGGAAUAUUGGACAAUGGGCGAAAGCCUGAUCCAGCCAUGCCGCGUGUGUGAAGAAGGUCUUCGGAUUGUAAAGCACUUUAAGUUGGGAGGAAGGGCAUUAACCUAAUACGUUAGUGUUUUGACGUUACCGACAGAAUAAGCACCGGCUAACUCUGUGCCAGCAGCCGCGGUAAUACAGAGGGUGCAAGCGUUAAUCGGAAUUACUGGGCGUAAAGCGCGCGUAGGUGGUUUGUUAAGUUGGAUGUGAAAUCCCCGGGCUCAACCUGGGAACUGCAUUCAAAACUGACUGACUAGAGUAUGGUAGAGGGUGGUGGAAUUUCCUGUGUAGCGGUGAAAUGCGUAGAUAUAGGAAGGAACACCAGUGGCGAAGGCGACCACCGGGACUAAUACUGACACUGAGGUGCGAAAGCGUGGGGAGCAAACA
RNAcentral lists this ribosomal RNA (427 nucleotides) under uncultured bacterium. Its description in RNAcentral is "partial 16S ribosomal RNA". It matches the Rfam family "Bacterial small subunit ribosomal RNA", at positions 355 to 774 of the family's 1533-position model. The record is from RNAcentral.